GGUCUCUUAAAUGAUGCAAAGAGAAGGCGCAUAAGGGUAACUUAUACGAAAACGUAUGACCAAACGCAAGUGUUAAUUUCUUGACAGUAUGGUUCCUUGACAAAUGUAAAAUUAUUUGAUCAAGUUCAAAACAGUGGUAGGUUCCAAACGGGUUAAAGGUGAACUCGUGUAUUGGACCCUGGUGCAUUAACAGAACUUGGUGUAUAGCAUUGAAAAGUUUACACCUUUCGUCCAUGUUUUUCCGUGCACUUGCUAUGUCAGAUGGUAGCUUCUCUUUGUUUUUUCCUUUGGACAAAGUAGACGAACCAAACUCAAGUUUGGGAAUAGUGGUCCACUUGUACCUCCAUUCCCUAGAGAGGAUACUUGUCCGUGCUGCCUCUUGAAUAGUUUGGUGGUUAUGGGGAAGCGUUUGGUAAAAAACAUAGGAUGUUUUCUAUUAUGGUUUGAGGGAGUGUGUUGAUUAU
RNAcentral lists this long non-coding RNA (464 nucleotides) under Helianthus annuus (common sunflower). Its description in RNAcentral is "hypothetical non coding rna". Lineage: Eukaryota; Viridiplantae; Streptophyta; Magnoliopsida; Asterales; Asteraceae. The record is from RNAcentral.